UACGGAAGGCAGCAGUGGGGAAUAUUGCACAAUGGGCGCAAGCCUGAUGCAGCCAUGCCGCGUGUAUGAAGAAGGCCUUCGGGUUGUAAAGUACUUUCAGUCGUGAGGAAGGUGUUAAGGUUAAUAACCUUAGCAAUUGACGUUAGCGACAGAAGAAGCACCGGCUAACUCCGUGCCAGCAGCCGCGGUAAUACGGAGGGUGCGAGCGUUAAUCGGAAUUACUGGGCGUAAAGGGCACGCAGGCGAUUAAUUAAGUUGGAUGUGAAAUCCCCCGGGCUUAACCUGGGAAUGGCAUUCAAGACUGGUUAGCUAGAGUCUUGUAGAGGGGGUAGAAUUCCAUGUGUAGCGGUGAAAUGCGUAGAGAUGUGGAGGAAUACCGGUGGCGAAGGCGGCCCCUGGACAAAGACUGACGCUCAUGUGCGAAAGCGUGGGGAGCAAACAGGGAUUAGAUACC
Molecule: ribosomal RNA, 454 nt
Filed under: uncultured bacterium
Lineage: Bacteria
Description: bacterial SSU rRNA
Rfam family: Bacterial small subunit ribosomal RNA
Source: RNAcentral